UUGGGGGCUGUUGUAAGCGAUUUUUGGCCACUGCUAAAUCACCGAAGUUGCUUUCGUCUGCAGUCAUUUGCUUAAAGUUAGUGAACGUGCUAAUAUCGUGUGCGUCCUGUUGUAUCGCUGCUGUUGCCGUUGUGCCGACGAGUUGAUUGUGCUUUGAUAUUUGUGACCUUCUCCACCCGCCACGUACACAGCAACGACAAGAUAAAAAGAUAAUUCCACGACCUGCAAUAGCCUACAAU
Long non-coding RNA from Rhagoletis zephyria (snowberry fruit fly), 239 nucleotides. RefSeq lists it as uncharacterized. The record is from RefSeq and is a predicted model, not a curated record. NCBI's taxonomy places the organism in Eukaryota, Metazoa, Arthropoda, Insecta, Diptera, Tephritidae.